CGGUAAAACGCGCUGGAGGACCGAACCCACGUAAGUUGAAAAUUGCGGGGAUGAGUUGUGGGUAGCGGUGAAAUUCCAAACGAACUUGGAGAUAGCUGGUUCUCUCCGAAAUAGCUUUAGGGCUAGCCUCGCAAAGAGGAUGCUGGAGGUAGAGCUCUGUUUGGACUAGGGGCCCGUCAAGGGUUACUGAAUUCAGAUAAACUGCGAAUUCCAGACAUUUAUGUGCGGGAGUCAGACUGCGAGUGAUAAGAUCCGUAGUCGAAAGGGAAACAGCCCAGAUCACCAGUUAAGGUCCCAAAAUUCAUGCUAAGUGGAAAAGGAUGUGGAGUUGCGCAGACAACUAGGACGUUGGCUCAGAAGCAGCCAUCAUUCAAAGAGUGCGUAAUAGCUCACUAGUCGAGUGACGCCGCGCCGAAAAUUUACCGGGGCUAAGCAUGAUACCGAAACUGUGGAUGUGCAUUUAUGCACGUGGUAGGAGAGCGUUCUAGCGGCGGUGAAGCAUGACCGAGAGGACAUGUGGAGCUUCUAGAAGUGAGAAUGCCGGUAUGAGUAACGAAAGACAGGUGAGAAUCCUGUCCGCCGCAAGACUAAGGUUUCCUGGGGCAGGCUCGUCCGCCCAGGGUAAGUCGGGACCUAAGGCGAGGCCGAGAGGCGUAGUCGAUGGACAACAGGUUGAAAUUCCUGUACUGCACCGAAUCGUUAUGAGCGAUGGAGGGACGCAGGAGGCUAGCAGCGCGUGGUGCUGGAUACCACGUUCAAGCGUCAAGUCUGAGAGCGAGUCAAAUGCUUGCUCUCAUAAGGACAAGGCGUGAUGAGGAGCGAAAUUAAAGUAGCGAAGGCUGCGACGUCACACUGCCGAGAAAAGCUUCUAGCCAGAGACGGUGCACCCGUACCGCAAACCGACACAGGUAGUCGAGGAGAGUAUCCUCAGGUGAGCGAGAGAACUCUCGUUAAGGAACUCGGCAAAAUGGCCCCGUAACUUCGGGAGAAGGGGCGCUGGUCGCAAGAUCAGCCGCAGUGAAAAGGCCCAAGCAACUGUUUAUCAAAAACACAGGCAUCUGCAAAAUCGUAAGAUGAAGUAUAGGUGCUGACACCUGCCCGGUGCUGGAAGGUUAAGAGGAGAGCUUAGCGCAAGCGAAGGUUUGAAUUGAAGCCCCAGUAAACGGCGGCCGUAACUAUAACGGUCCUAAGGUAGCGAAAUUCCUUGUCGGGUAAGUUCCGACCUGCACGAAAGGUGUAAUGAUUUGGGCACUGUCUCAACGAGAGACUCGGUGAAAUUAUAAUACCCGUGAAGAUGCGGGUUACCCGCGACAGGACGGAAAGACCCCAUGGAGCUUUACUGCAGUUUAAUAUUGGGUAUCUGUCAAGCAUGUACAGGAUAGGUAGGAGCCGGAGAAGAUAGGACGCCAGUCUUAUCAGAGGCGCUGUUGGGAUACUACCCUUGCUUGACGGAUGCUCUAACUCAGGCCUGUGAUCCAGGCCGAGGACAGUGUUUGACGGGCAGUUUGACUGGGGCGGUCGCCUCCUAAAGUGUAACGGAGGCGCCCAAAGGUUCCCUCAGAAUGGUUGGAAAUCAUUCGCAGAGUGUAAAGGUAAAAGGGAGCUUGACUGCGAGAGAGACAACUCGAGCAGGUACGAAAGUAGGGCUUAGUGAUCUGGUGGUACCGUAUGGAAGGGCCAUCACUCAACGGAUAAAAGCUACCCUGGGGAUAACAGGCUUAUCUCCCCCAAGAGUUCACAUCGACGGGGAGGUUUGGCACCUCGAUGUCGGCUCGUCGCAUCCUGGGGCUGAAGUCGGUCCCAAGGGUUGGGCUGUUCGCCCAUUAAAGCGGCACGCGAGCUGGGUUCAGAACGUCGUGAGACAGUUCGGUCCCUAUCCGUCGUGGGCGUAGGAAAUUUGAGAGGAGCUGUCCUUAGUACGAGAGGACCGGGAUGGACGCACCGCUGGUGUACCAGUUGUCUUGCCAAAGGCAUCGCUGGGUAGCUAUGUGCGGACGGGAUAAGCGCUGAAAGCAUCUAAGUGCGAAGCCCCCCUCAAGAUGAGAUUUCCCAUUUCUUCAAGAAAGUAAGACACCUCAGAGACGAUGAGGUAGAUAGGCCGGGAG
This 2105-nucleotide ribosomal RNA is filed under the name Lactobacillus delbrueckii subsp. bulgaricus. Its description in RNAcentral is "partial 23S ribosomal RNA". It matches the Rfam family "Bacterial large subunit ribosomal RNA", at positions 754 to 2867 of the family's 2925-position model. The record is from RNAcentral. Lineage: Bacteria; Bacillati; Bacillota; Bacilli; Lactobacillales; Lactobacillaceae.